CUAGCAUUCAUCGCAUUAUCGAUCUCGAUGGAGAAGCCCACAAAUCAAACGCGUGCAGUAGCCCUGCUGCUCUCCCAACUGUUGCUCGCGUGCUUUGCUUUUCAUGCGCAGUGUCGAACCACCGAGGGCAUGGACAACAAGAAAAUCAAUAUACCAGGCGGAUUGUGCGUCCAUCAUAGGGACUGCACACCGGGUAACAAGAAAGACCCUCUGUCAAUCCGACCACUCGCGAGGCUGACGCAGUGCUGUAUUUAAGUUGCAGAUAACAAAAUAAUAAUUCAUAUAAUUUUAUUAAAGGGGCGUGCGACGCAUCCGCCGGCUGAUAUUUGUAAAAGAUCAAUAGGCUCGCGAGCCGUCGGAUUGCCGCAUCAAGCGAGCCGAGCGUGCCUCCAGAACUGCAGCACAAGACUUAUUGCAGAAACAUAGGUCUUGUUGCAGAUUUUUUUUUUGCAACGGCUGUUUUGUCGCGAGAAAAAAAAUUACAAGUAGGGUUUUGUUGCAAUUUUUUCUGCAAUUGAGUUCUUGUUGCAGAAAAUUUCGCAACAAAGGUUUUGUUGUAAAAUUAGACCCAUCAUAGACCAUUGCAACAUGUUAGACUGUA
This is a long non-coding RNA of Triticum dicoccoides, 601 nucleotides long. RefSeq lists it as uncharacterized. The record is from RefSeq and is a predicted model, not a curated record. Lineage: Eukaryota; Viridiplantae; Streptophyta; Magnoliopsida; Poales; Poaceae. The transcript is spliced from 2 exons.